GAUGAACGCUGGCGGCGUGCCUAAUACAUGCAAGUCGAGCGAACAGACGAGGAGCUUGCUCCUCUGACGUUAGCGGCGGACGGGUGAGUAACACGUGGAUAACCUACCUAUAAUACUGGGAUAACUUCGGGACACCGGAGCUAAUACGGGAUAAUAUAUUGAACCGCAUGGUUCAAUAGUGAAAGACGGUGUUGCUGGCACGUAUAGAUGGAUCCGCGCCGCAUUAGCGAGUUGGUAAGGUAACGGCUUACCAAGGCAACGAUGCGUAGCCGACCUGAGAGGGGGAUCGGCCACUGUGGAAGUGAGCCACGAUCCAGAGUCCGACGGGAGGCAGCAGUAGGGAAUCGAGCGCAAAGUGCGAAAGACUGACGGAGCAACGGCGCGUGAGUGAUGAAGGUCUUCGGAUCGUAAAACUCUGUUAUUGGGGAAGAACAAAUGUGUAAGUAACGAUGCACGUCUGGAGGGUACCUAAUCAGAAAGCCACGGCAAACUACGU
RNAcentral lists this ribosomal RNA (496 nucleotides) under uncultured bacterium. RNAcentral describes it as "partial 16S ribosomal RNA". It matches the Rfam family "Bacterial small subunit ribosomal RNA", at positions 28 to 506 of the family's 1533-position model. The record is from RNAcentral.